Molecule: ribosomal RNA, 370 nt
Filed under: uncultured bacterium
Lineage: Bacteria
Description: bacterial SSU rRNA
Rfam family: Bacterial small subunit ribosomal RNA
Source: RNAcentral
CAGCAGUGAGGAAGGUGGGUAUGUUAAUUAGCAUACUCAUUUUGACGUUAGCUUGCAGAAGAAGUCACCGGCUAACUCCGUGUCCAGCAGCGCGGUAAUACGGAGGGUUGCGAGCGUUAAUCGGAAUUACUGGGCGUAAAGCGCAUGCAGGUGGUUUGUUAAGUCAGAUGUGAAAGCCCGGGGCUCAACCUCGGAAUUUGCAUUUGAAACUGGCAAACUAGAGUACUGUAGAGGGGGUAGAAUUUCAGGUGUAGCGGUGAAAAUGCGUAGAGAUCUGAAGGAAUACCGGUGGCGAAGGCGGCCCCCUGGACAGAUACUGACACUCAGAUGCGAAAGCGUGGGGAGCAAACAGGAUUAGAUACCCUGGUAG